This 670-nucleotide ribosomal RNA is filed under the name uncultured bacterium. RNAcentral describes it as "bacterial SSU rRNA". It matches the Rfam family "Bacterial small subunit ribosomal RNA", at positions 70 to 734 of the family's 1533-position model. The record is from RNAcentral.
AAUUACUUUAUGAAACUUCGGUCGAUUAAUUUAAUCUAGUGGCGGACGGGUGAGUAACGCGUGGGUAACCUGCUUAUACAGGGGGAUAACAGUCAGAAAUGGCUGCUAAUACCGCAUAAGCGCACAGAGCUGCAUGGCUCAGUGUGAAAAACUCCGGUGGUAUAAGAUGGACCCGCGUUGGAUUAGCUAGUUGGUGGGGUAACGGCCCACCAAGGCGACGAUCCAUAGCCGGCUGAGAGGGUGAACGGCCACAUUGGGACUGAGACACGGCCCAGACUCCUACGGGAGGGCAGCAGUGGGGAAUAUUGCACAAUGGGGGAAACCCUGAUGCAGCGACGCCGCGUGAAGGAAGAAGUAUCUCGGUAUGUAAACUUCUAUCAGCAGGGAAGAUAGUGACGGUACCUGACUAAGAAGCCCCCGGCUAACUACGUGCCAGCAGCCGCGGUAAUACGUAGGGGGCAAGCGUUAUCCGGAUUUACUGGGUGUAAAAGGGGAGCGUAGACGGUGUGGCAAAGUCUGAUGUGAAAAGGCAUGGGCUCAAACCUGUGGACUGCAUUGGAAAACUGUCAUACUUGAGUGCCGGAGGGGUAAGCGGAAUUUCCUAGUGUAGCGGUGAAAAUGCGUAGAUAUUAGGAGGAAACACCCAGUGGCGAAAGGCGGCUUACUGGAC